This 305-nucleotide ribosomal RNA is filed under the name uncultured bacterium. RNAcentral's name for it is "bacterial SSU rRNA". It matches the Rfam family "Bacterial small subunit ribosomal RNA", at positions 333 to 630 of the family's 1533-position model. The record is from RNAcentral.
GUAUGCCUACGGGGCGCAGCAGUGGGGAAUAUUACGCAAUGGGCGAAAGCCUGACGCAGCGACGCCGCGUGAGGGAUGAAGGUCUUCGGAUCGUAAACCUCUAUCAGCAGGGAAGAACGGUCACUGUGCUAAUCAGCAGUGAAUUGACGGUACCUGCAACGGCAGCACCGGCUAACUCCGUGCCAGCAGCCGCGGUAAUACGGAGGGUGCGAGCGUUAAUCGGAAUUACUGGGCGUAAAGCGCUCGUAGGCGGUAUGUCAAGUCAAGGGUGAAAUCCCCGCGCUCAACGUGGGAACUGCCUUUGA